CCCUUAGAUGUUCUGGGCCGCACGCGCGCUACACUGAUGCAUUCAACGAGUUUCUUCUGGUCCGAGAGGAAUGGGUAACCUUUUGAAAGUGCAUCGUGAUAGGGAUAGACUAUUGCAAUUAUUGGUCUUCAACGAGGAAUUCCUAGUAGACGUAGUUCAUCAGACUGCAUCGAUUACGUCCCUGCCCUUUGUACACACCGCCCGUCGCUCCUACCGAUUGAAUGCUCAGGUGAGCCAUUCGGACUUUCAUCAUGCUGGUUUCCAGUUUUGAUGAAGGAAAGUCUUGCGAACCUUAUCAUUUAGAGGAAGGAGAAGUCGUAACA
RNAcentral lists this ribosomal RNA (323 nucleotides) under uncultured eukaryote. RNAcentral's name for it is "partial 18S ribosomal RNA". It matches the Rfam family "Eukaryotic small subunit ribosomal RNA", at positions 1470 to 1796 of the family's 1831-position model. The record is from RNAcentral.